GUUUUUGUUUGUCAAGGAUUUUCAUUGUGAUAUAACAAGCUUUGGCUUGUAGUAACGGUUAUCUAUGUUCUUCUUUUUAUGGAGGCUUUGAGUUCAUAGUUCUUUUUGUUUAAUGUAAGGUCACAAUGAAUAAUUUGAUCACAGGUUCCUAGUCACAGUUGUAAAAUUUCAUUAUUAUUAUUAUUUGAACUCACAGCUGUAAAUUUAUGCAGGCAUGA
Molecule: unclassified non-coding RNA, 218 nt
Filed under: Hevea brasiliensis (rubber tree)
Lineage: Eukaryota; Viridiplantae; Streptophyta; Magnoliopsida; Malpighiales; Euphorbiaceae
Source: RNAcentral